CCUACGGGUGGCAGCAGUGAGGAAUAUUGGUCAAUGGACGAGAGUCUGAACCAGCCAAGUAGCGUGAAUGAUGACUGCCCUAUGGGUUGUAAACUUCUUUUAUAUGGGAGUAAAAUGUUCCACGUGUGGGAUUUUGUAUGUACCAUAUGAAUACGGAUCGGCUAACUCCGUGCCAGCAGCCGCGGUAAUCCGGAGGUUCCGAGCGUUAUCCGGGUUUAGUGGGUUUAAAGGGAGCGUAGGUGGAUUGUGAAGUCUGUUGGGAAAGUUUGCGGCUAAACCGUAAAAUUGCAGUUGAAACUGGCAGUCUUGAGUACAGUAGAGGUGGGCGGAAUUCGUGGUGUAGCGGUGAAAUGCUUAGAUAUCACGAAGAACUCCGAUUGCGAAGGGAGCUCACUGGACUGCAACUGACACUGAGGCUCGAAAGUGUUGGUAUCAAACAGGAUUAGAUACCCCAGAUAGUC
This 461-nucleotide ribosomal RNA is filed under the name uncultured bacterium. Its description in RNAcentral is "partial 16S ribosomal RNA". It matches the Rfam family "Bacterial small subunit ribosomal RNA", at positions 338 to 795 of the family's 1533-position model. The record is from RNAcentral.